CACAAAUUAAUCAAUCUCAUCUCUCUACCGUUCCCUUUCUAUGCCUGUUCCCUUCUCAUUCAAUGUCAUUAUCAGUUUCUUCAACUCAACCGUUCAUCUUUCAAUGCAAUCAAAAGAUUCUUGAAUUCAAAAGCCCUGUCCGUUGCAUAAGUCCUCCUGAGAUGACGCCGGGUCAGUGAUAAUGGUGUUCGGAUGAUGGCGGUGGUAGGUUGGGGACAAAGCGAAGCCCCAACAACGAUGGCUUUAGGGUUCUGUCGCAAGUCAGUCAAGGGGUUAGUAGGAUUCGGGCAGAUGAAUAUUGUGGUAAAGGAUCCUUCUUCAAUUGCUCGUUUGUUUCCGCUAAGAUGAUUUUGCAAAAAACUGCAAAUUUUCUCAACUUAACUUGAGAAAACGGGAUAUAGAAUAGUAGUAUGUCGGGCAUGGCCUGGUAGUACCCAAAAGAACCGAAACGCUGAUAAAUCUUUCGACCCUUCUAAUUUACCAGCCGGCAGAUCUGAGGUCUUUAGCUCUCUAAUUUACCAUUCUCGUUGUAAUUCAAUGAAGUUUCUAGACUGGUACCUGAAGAUUGGAGUCGUAUCAGCUGCAAUCGGAGGUUCUAUGGAGUAUUUUAUGAUCAAAACCGGCUUCUGUAAGUCCCACCUUUCUUAUAAUGAUAUAAUCCACUGAUGUAUUAGUUAUUUCAGUUUUUAUCAUUUGCCAGUUGAAUUUUGUUUAUCUGUUUGUGUUUAUGAAACUACAUAUUCUGGUUAAUCAUCACUAUUAGGGUUUUAUUUUAUCUUUAUUCAUCACCGGCGAAUUUUUAUAUUUAAUCUGAUUUUAUUUUAUUUUUUUGGGUUUGAUUUCGGUUGUCGAAUCGUCGGACAAUAACUCUGCUGUUCUCGACACGAAAUCGUCUUCGGUUGAAAGAAUCAGUAAGAAAUCAAGUGGCGGUUUGGAUGCCGAUAGUGUUCAAUUCGAGAAUCUUACUGCUAGAAAAGUGGAAUCGGACAUUUCGGUUAAGGAAUUGUUUCGAUACGGUGACCCGAACAAGAAGUCGAAACGGGUAUUUGAUAAAACGCAAGAACUGACUUACGAACAGAAGCUCGAAAUAAGAAGGAAUUUGUUUAGAGAAUUUGCGUAUUUGAAAAAAAGAGUUCGCGAUGAUGAUGAUUCGUAUACUCUUGAACUAGAACGCGAGGGGCCGAAUAAGAAAUGAAAUAAGUACGAAUGCUUGAACUGCAACAAGGUUUUUACGUCGUUUCAAGGGCUUGGCAGGCAUAGACCGUGUCACAAAAAGAACAAUACGGUUGGAUCAAAACACGACAGUGGCGAAAACAGUUUAGAAGGUGACUUUGCACAUACUCGAAAGGCGAAAUACGAUAACAAAACGAAGGUGAAAAAGAUCAAAGGGCACGAAUGCCCGAUUUGUUUCAGGAUGUUUAAAUCGGGGCAAGCUUUAGGUGGUCACAAACGGUCUCAUUUUAUUAACGGGUCGAUGGAUCAUUAUGCGGCCAUGGGUCACGCGACUCCAUCGUGGUCGGAGGUGUUGACUUAGCUGUAUAUGUAGCUUGCUUUUUUGCACUCUUUCAAUGAGGCCUAUUUAUAGUAGAACCCCAUAUUUAACAACUGUUCAUAUUUGAUAGAACAUGGUAAAACUUAUAACAGUGAGUUGCUUCUUAUGCAUUUCAAGAAAACUGGGAGCUUUGUGUGUUAAUAGGGAUCUUGGGGCGGACCUGUUUCGGAUCUUGUUCAAUUUUAUAAUAACUAUCUUAAAGAUUUGAAUAAAAAGGUAUCCGGUCAACCAAACAAAACAAGCCUGUCCGGUUUACCCAAUCCUCUGUCCGUUCAUUUACCCACAAUUAAUAUUACAUUUUCCCACCUUUAAUAAUUUUACCCAAUCCGGUCGCCUCUUCGCCAUCUCUUUCCUAGCAAAGCUGGAGGGGAACUCCUGUACACUCACACUCACAUUCGGAAUAUUCUUAUUUUCUAUACUGCACUAUUUGAUUCAUUCUGUGAAUAUAAUUAAAUGUUUUUUUCGGGUGAUUUAGGUUUGGCCGAAUCCAAUCAACUUACCAUCUGGUAAAUCAUGUCUGUGACAUCUGUGGUCAACCUCUUCAGUUCUUGCUUCAGCUGGAAUUCCAAUGGAAAAUAUUCUAUAUCUCGGUGGACUAAAUAUCGCAUCAGAAAUAUAUAAUAAGGAGUAUGCAAAUGCGCGGAUAUGUGGACCAGAGAAAUGGAGGAAACCACUAGCCAAGUUUCUAAGGCAACCACACUUUACUGUAUGGGAUAACGGUGAUCUUAUCUCUCAUGAAGUGAUUGGUGGGUUAAAGAACGUCUAUGCCAUUGGAGCUGGAGGCCACAAAUUUGGUAUUCAUUGCCUGAGUGUGAUACUGUGGAGUUCUCUUCUCAUCCACAACCACUGCGCGCAAAAAGCGUUGCUGGUAUUUGAGGUCGAGCAGUUUUUUUAUGAGCCUAGCAAUGGAUGCUGUAGGAUUUGCUUAGGGUGUUAAGAGUCCAACCAACAUGCAACUUUUUCAUUUGGUGUGAAAUUGUAGGCACCCAUUUAUAUUGCUAAGGUGUUUAUAUUGAUAAGAUAUAAUUAUAUAAAUGAUAAAGAGACUAUUUUAUUGAUUAGACAUCUCAUUCAUUUGUGAACGGGUCAAAAUUGCCUGCUUUUGUUACGAGUUAAGGGUGUGUAAGUUAUUUGAGAAGGAUAGGAUUGUAACUUCCAUGAUAUUGAAAACUGUUAUAUGAGGGUUGGCAUUUAUUGAAUGGUUCAUCUUAACUGGCUUUUUAUGCAACUUUUUACGGAUUUAAAGAAUAACUUGGCACUACUAAUUAUGUUAUUUACAUUCCUUUAUGCAACUUAUUAUUCUUCCUUUUACUGAAAGGGGAAUCCUAGUAUUCCAUGUAGGGUUUAUUCAAGAUAUUUCUAUGUUGAUAUACGAGUAAUUAAUCUAAUAUAUCAUCUUCUCCUCUGUAUUUACAGGAACACUCAGCUAAGGUUCCAAUUUAUAGUAAUGAAUCGUUGAAGCACAUGCAAGUUUCUUUUAAGUUUUGUUAAUUAUUUUUAUUUUUAUUUAGAAGCAUCAAGAAACCUCACUAUAUUCACUUAUUAAGUAUCAACAAUGCAUGUACAUUGAGCUAAUAUGUUGUGCUUUCUCUGUCUUUUCUGAAUUCAUAUUAACAUUUUAAUUUUA
This is a long non-coding RNA of Helianthus annuus (common sunflower), 3179 nucleotides long. RefSeq lists it as uncharacterized. The transcript is spliced from 3 exons. The record is from RefSeq and is a predicted model, not a curated record. NCBI's taxonomy places the organism in Eukaryota, Viridiplantae, Streptophyta, Magnoliopsida, Asterales, Asteraceae.